Saccostrea cuccullata (small rock oyster) is the source of this 393-nucleotide long non-coding RNA. RefSeq lists it as uncharacterized. The transcript is spliced from 4 exons. The record is from RefSeq and is a predicted model, not a curated record. NCBI's taxonomy places the organism in Eukaryota, Metazoa, Mollusca, Bivalvia, Ostreida, Ostreidae.
AUGUCAACAUUCAACAUGUGUAACACAGCUCCCCUUCCUUUUUAACAUUCGUCCCGAAUGUUGUGCAGAGUCUGGAGUGCCAAGAACAAGGUCAAUGGUGUUUACAGUCGUCAGGACAAGGUCUCCUGGAGAGGGCAUCAGCAUUGCCGUGGGAUUUCCCAGCUCUGUGUUCUACUUUGAAUUCAUACUGGGACAGAAACUGAAACCAACGGGCAAUUUGGCCUUCCGGAUUUUUAAAGUUUAGGAGCCAGGUUGGGCAAGAUCUGAUGCCUUUGAUGGAGAAGGAGGAUUGGAAACGGGUGUGGCCACCCUACCAUUCUCCAAGCUGUUAGGUGAAGACGGACGGGACUUAAAAGUUACUUCAAAACUUUCUUCGGCUUCCAUUUUGUACAA